GGUGAACGCUGGCGGCGUGCCUAACACAUGCAAGUCGAGCGGUGCAGUUUGAAGCUUCGGUGGAAAGCUGCAUAGCGGCGGACGGGUGAGGAAAACGUAGGAACGUGCCCCUUGGAGUUGGAUAGCCACGGGAAACUGUGGGUAAACCGACAUAGACUCGAGAGAGUAAAGGCCGAAAGGCGCCAAGGGAGCGGCCUGCGGCCCAUCAGGUAGUUGGUAGUGUAAAGGACUACCAAGCCGACGACGGGUAGCCGGUCUGAGAGGAUGGCCGGCCACAAAGGGCACUGAGAGACGGGCCCUACUCCUACGGGAGGCAGCAGUGGGGGAUUUUGGACAAUGGGCGAAAGCCUGAUCCAGCGACGCCGCGUGGAGGACGAAGCCCUUCGGGGUGUAAACUCCUUUUCUCAGGGAAAAAGGAUGAUGGUACCUGAGGAAUAAGCCCCGGCUAACUACGUG
This 456-nucleotide ribosomal RNA is filed under the name uncultured bacterium. Its description in RNAcentral is "bacterial SSU rRNA". It matches the Rfam family "Bacterial small subunit ribosomal RNA", at positions 28 to 507 of the family's 1533-position model. The record is from RNAcentral.